RNAcentral lists this ribosomal RNA (400 nucleotides) under uncultured Anaerolineaceae bacterium. RNAcentral's name for it is "bacterial SSU rRNA". It matches the Rfam family "Bacterial small subunit ribosomal RNA", at positions 969 to 1382 of the family's 1533-position model. Lineage: Bacteria; Bacillati; Chloroflexota; Anaerolineae; Anaerolineales; Anaerolineaceae. The record is from RNAcentral.
CCUUACCAGGGUUUGACAUACAAGUAGUAGGGAAAGGAACGUGGACGACCCUUCGGGGAGCUUGUACAGGUGCUGCAUGGCUGUCGUCAGCUCGUGUCGUGAGAUGUUCGGUUAAGCCCGCUAACGAGCGCAACCCUCGCUGUGUGUUACAAGUGUCACACGGAACUGCCGGUCAUAAACCGGAGGAAGGUGGGAUGACGUCAAGUCAGCAUGACCUUUAUAUCCUGGGCUACACACACGCUACAAUGGGAAGGGACAAUAGGUUGCGAAGCCGCGAGGCGGAGCCAAUCCAGCAAAACUUCCCUCAGUUCAGAUUGCAGGCUGCAACCCGCCUGCAUGAAGUUGGAGUUGCUAGUAAACGCAGGUCAGCCAUACUGCGUUGAAUACGUUCCCGGGGCUU